AGCGGCUUGGCGCAGGGGAAGCGUGUCUGGCUCAUAACCAGAAGGUCGGAGGAUCGAAACCUCCAGCCGCUA
RNAcentral lists this transfer RNA (72 nucleotides) under Candidatus Omnitrophota bacterium. RNAcentral describes it as "tRNA-Met". It matches the Rfam family "tRNA". Rfam says of the family: Transfer RNA (tRNA) molecules are approximately 80 nucleotides in length. Lineage: Bacteria; Pseudomonadati; Candidatus Omnitrophota. The record is from RNAcentral.